AGUGAACGCUGGCGGUAGGCCUAACACAUGCAAGUCGAACGGCAGCACAGUAAGAGCUUGCUCUUACGGGUGGCGAGUGGCGGACGGGUGAGGAAUACAUCGGAAUCUACUUUUUCGUGGGGGAUAACGUAGGGAAACUUACGCUAAUACCGCAUACGACCUACGGGUGAAAGCAGGGGAUCUUCGGACCUUGCGCGAUUGAAUGAGCCGAUGUCGGAUUAGCUAGUUGGCGGGGUAAAGGCCCACCAAGGCGACGAUCCGUAGCUGGUCUGGGAGGAUGAUCAGCCACACUGGAACUGAGACACGGUCCAGACUCCUACGGGAGGCAGCAGUGGGGAAUAUUGGACAAAGGGCGCAAGCCUGAUCCAGCCAUACCGCGUGGGUGAAGAAGGCCUUCGGGUUGUAAAGCCCUUUUGUUGGGAAAGAAAAGCAGCAGGUUAAUACCCCGCUGUUCUGACGGUACCCAAAGAAUAAGCACCGGCUAACUUCGUG
RNAcentral lists this ribosomal RNA (492 nucleotides) under uncultured bacterium. Its description in RNAcentral is "partial 16S ribosomal RNA". It matches the Rfam family "Bacterial small subunit ribosomal RNA", at positions 29 to 507 of the family's 1533-position model. The record is from RNAcentral.